GGCUGUAGCUCAGUGGCAGAGCACUUGCCUCGCAGGUGUGAGAUCUGGGUUCGAUCCUCAGCACCA
This 66-nucleotide transfer RNA is filed under the name Marmota monax (woodchuck). RNAcentral describes it as "tRNA.Ala". It matches the Rfam family "tRNA", at positions 6 to 65 of the family's 71-position model. Rfam says of the family: Transfer RNA (tRNA) molecules are approximately 80 nucleotides in length. Their secondary structure includes four short double-helical elements and three loops (D, anti-codon, and T loops). The record is from RNAcentral. Lineage: Eukaryota; Metazoa; Chordata; Mammalia; Rodentia; Sciuridae.